Molecule: transfer RNA, 74 nt
Filed under: Bacteroidota bacterium
Lineage: Bacteria; Pseudomonadati; Bacteroidota
Description: tRNA-Arg
Rfam family: tRNA
About the family: Transfer RNA (tRNA) molecules are approximately 80 nucleotides in length. Their secondary structure includes four short double-helical elements and three loops (D, anti-codon, and T loops). Further hydrogen bonds mediate the characteristic L-shaped molecular structure. tRNAs have two regions of fundamental functional importance: the anti-codon, which is responsible for specific mRNA codon recognition, and the 3' end, to which the tRNAs corresponding amino acid is attached (by aminoacyl-tRNA synthetases). tRNAs cope with the degeneracy of the genetic code in two manners: having more than one tRNA (with a specific anti-codon) for a particular amino acid; and 'wobble' base-pairing, i.e. permitting non-standard base-pairing at the 3rd anti-codon position.
Source: RNAcentral
GCGCUCGUAGCUCAACUGGAUAGAGCGUCAGCCUCCGGAGCUGAAGGUUUCGGGUUCGACUCCCGACGAGCGUA